This 528-nucleotide long non-coding RNA is filed under the name Ictidomys tridecemlineatus (thirteen-lined ground squirrel). Its description in RNAcentral is "lncRNA (ENSSTOG00000031152.1)". The record is from RNAcentral. Lineage: Eukaryota; Metazoa; Chordata; Mammalia; Rodentia; Sciuridae.
AAAACAGGCUGACCUCAGUCCCCUAAAUUGUUCCCCUGGUCUUUCUUCCACAGUGCUUGGUAAUCCUUCAUAGCCGACUCCUUUGUUCUUUGCAUCUGGACAGGGCUUCACUUUGUGAGAGUCUCCUAUUUCGAAAUAAGGAGACAGGGUAAAUCCUCCAGUCUUACCAGCUCUCCUGAGGCAGCUCUGGAGUUUCUGGAGACAUCACGUUCCCUGCUUAUUCCUGGAGAAACCUCAAUUCCAGUGUUCAGAGAGGACCUGAGCUUCAGAGAUUCAAGCUGGAAAACGGCUUCGUUCCCUGCUGCCUGGCACGACCUCAGGGGAUAUUUCUAGGUGGAGUUGGUGGCCUGGUGGAGUUGGUGGCACUGUGAGGUGGGAAGCAAAGGGACUGACUUCCUUCUUCCUACUAGUGGAGCGAAAGGCAGGAGGGGGACAUGCUCCUUAAGUGUCUUUUCUCAUUAUUCAUCAAAUGACUGCUCCUGGGGAUCUGUUUUUCUGCUAUACAUGCUGUGUUUUGAAUGUGUUGUU